UAUGGCCACAUCACAUUGAAAUAAUGGUUCCCGUAGGAUCACCAAAGUUAAGCAACAUUGAGCCUUGUCAGUACCUAGAUGGGUGACUGCUUGGGAAUACUUGAUGCUGUAAG
This is a non-coding RNA of Acanthosepion pharaonis, 113 nucleotides long. The record is from the annotation of a GenBank genome assembly. Lineage: Eukaryota; Metazoa; Mollusca; Cephalopoda; Sepiida; Sepiidae.